This 1419-nucleotide ribosomal RNA is filed under the name metagenome. RNAcentral describes it as "bacterial LSU rRNA". It matches the Rfam family "Bacterial large subunit ribosomal RNA", at positions 1430 to 2925 of the family's 2925-position model. The record is from RNAcentral.
UAGAAAUUCCGUAACCACCGAAACUUAAGUUAGAGGGACACUUCGAGAUAGCGGAACCGCGGCGUUGGUAGACCGCGGCGAAAGGGACUGAAAUAUAGUAGGGAAGUCCGCGAUGCUCGGAGGCGAGAAAAGCUCUAAGGAAUGCUAAGGUGUCCGUACCGCAAACCGACACAGGUAGAUGAGGAGAGAAUCCUAAGGCCAACGGGAGAAGGGUUGUCAAGGAACUCGGCAAGUUGACCCCGUAACUUCGGAAGAAGGGGAGCCUCGAAAGAGGCCGCAGUGAAUAGGCCCAGGCAACUGUUUACCAAAAACACAGGUCUAUGCUAAAUCGAAAGAUGACGUAUAUGGGCUGACGCCUGCCCGGUGCCGGAAGGUUAAGAGGAGAUGUCAGGCAACGAAGCAUCGAAUUGAAGCCCCGGUAAACGGCGGCCGUAACCAUAACGGUCCUAAGGUAGCGAAAUUCCUUGUCAGGUAAGUUCUGACCCGCACGAAUGGCGUAAUGAUCUGGGCACUGUCUCGACAGCCCACCCGGCGAAAUUGUAGUACUGGUGAAGAUGCCAGUUACCCGCAACUAGACGGAAAGACCCCAUGGAGCUUUACUGCAGCUUAAUACUGGAAAUCGGUAAUUCAUGUACAGGAUAGGUGGGAGACGGAGAAGCAUGGUCGUCAGGUCAUGUGGAGUCGCCCUUGGGAUACCACUCUUGGAUUGCUGAUUUUCUAACCUGCGGCCGUGAAUCCGGUCGGGGGACACUGUUAGGCGGGCAGUUUGACUGGGGCGGUCGCCUCCAAAAAGGUAACGGAGGCGCUCAAAGGUUCGUUCAGCACGGACGGAAAUCGUGCAUUGAGUGUAAACGCAUAAACGAGCCUAACUGCGAGACCGACGGGUCGAGCAGUAACGAAAGUUGGAGUUAGUGAUCCGGUGGUAUGUGAGUGGAAAUGCCAUCGCUCAACGGAUAAAAGCUACCCUGGAUAACAGGCUGAUCUCCCCCAAGCGUCCACAGCGACGGGGAGGUUUGGCACCUCGAUGUCGGCUCGUCGCAUCCUGGGGCUGAAUUCGGUCCCAAGGGUUUGGCUGUUCGCCAAUUAAAGCGGCACGCGAGCUGGGUUCAGAACGUCGUGAGACAGUUCGGUCCCUAUCUGUUGCGGGCGUAAGAGAUUUGAAGGGAGCUGUCCUUAGUACGAGAGGACCGGGAUGGACGUACCUCUGGUGCACCAGUUGUCCUGCCAAGGGCAUAGCUGGGUAGCUAUGUACGGACGAGAUAAACGCUGAAAGCAUCUAAGCGUGAAACUCCCCCUAAGAUGAGAUCUCUCAUUCGAAAGAAGUAAGGACCCAGAGAGACGAUCUGGUUGAUAGGCGCGAGGUGGAAGUGCAGUAAUGUAUGGAGCUGACGCGUACUAAUAGUCCGAGGGCUUGACUAA